This 130-nucleotide ribosomal RNA is filed under the name Oogamochlamys gigantea. The record is from RNAcentral. Lineage: Eukaryota; Viridiplantae; Chlorophyta; Chlorophyceae; Chlamydomonadales; Chlamydomonadaceae.
UACGCCUUGGUGCUCUUUGCCAUGUUGGACCCACACCAAUCCAUCUCGAACUUGGUUGUGAAAUAGCAUGGGGCUUUUAUGGUACUAGAUGGGCCGCUGUCUGGGAAAUAAAAGCUAGUGCCAGGGAAUA